This 1207-nucleotide ribosomal RNA is filed under the name Escherichia albertii. Its description in RNAcentral is "partial 23S ribosomal RNA". It matches the Rfam family "Bacterial large subunit ribosomal RNA", at positions 1614 to 2802 of the family's 2925-position model. The record is from RNAcentral. Lineage: Bacteria; Pseudomonadati; Pseudomonadota; Gammaproteobacteria; Enterobacterales; Enterobacteriaceae.
AAAGCCUCUAAGCAUCAGGUAACAUCAAAUCGUACCCCAAACCGACACAGGUGGUCAGGUAGAGAAUACCAAGGCGCUUGAGAGAACUCGGGUGAAGGAACUAGGCAAAAUGGUGCCGUAACUUCGGGAGAAGGCACGCUGAUAUGUAGGUGAAGCGACUUGCUCGUGGAGCUGAAAUCAGUCGAAGAUACCAGCUGGCUGCAACUGUUUAUUAAAAACACAGCACUGUGCAAACACGAAAGUGGACGUAUACGGUGUGACGCCUGCCCGGUGCCGGAAGGUUAAUUGAUGGGGUCAGCGCAAGCGAAGCUCUUGAUCGAAGCCCCGGUAAACGGCGGCCGUAACUAUAACGGUCCUAAGGUAGCGAAAUUCCUUGUCGGGUAAGUUCCGACCUGCACGAAUGGCGUAAUGAUGGCCAGGCUGUCUCCACCCGAGACUCAGUGAAAUUGAACUCGCUGUGAAGAUGCAGUGUACCCGCGGCAAGACGGAAAGACCCCGUGAACCUUUACUAUAGCUUGACACUGAACACUGGUCCUUGAUGUGUAGGAUAGGUGGGAGGCUUUGAAGUGUGGACGCCAGUCUGCAUGGAGCCGUCCUUGAAAUACCACCCUUUAAUGGCUGGUGUUCUAACGUUGGCCCGUAAUCCGGGUUGCGGACAGUGUCUGGUGGGUAGUUUGACUGGGGCGGUCUCCUCCUAAAGAGUAACGGAGGAGCACGAAGGUUGGCUAAUCCUGGUCGGACAUCAGGAGGUUAGUGCAAUGGCAUAAGCCAGCUUGACUGCGAGCGUGACGGCGCGAGCAGGUGCGAAAGCAGGUCAUAGUGAUCCGGUGGUUCUGAAUGGAAGGGCCAUCGCUCAACGGAUAAAAGGUACUCCGGGGAUAACAGGCUGAUACCGCCCAAGAGUUCAUAUCGACGGCGGUGUUUGGCACCUCGAUGUCGGCUCAUCACAUCCUGGGGCUGAAGUAGGUCCCAAGGGUAUGGCUGUUCGCCAUUUAAAGUGGUACGCGAGCUGGGUUUAGAACGUCGUGAGACAGUUCGGUCCCUAUCUGCCGUGGGCGCUGGAGAACUGAGGGGGGCUGCUCCUAGUACGAGAGGACCGGAGUGGACGCAUCACUGGUGUUCGGGUUGUCAUGCCAAUGGCACUGCCCGGUAGCUAAAUGCGGAAGAGAUAAGUGCUGAAAGCAUCUAAGCACGAAACUUGCCCCGA